GGGGGAUGGUACUGGGGAUUGAACUCAGGGCCUUGUGCAUUCGAGGCAAGCACUCUACCAACUGAGCUAUAUCCCCAGCCCCUGUUUCUAUUUCUCUCAAUAAUGUAGAAUUAAAAUGCAAAAUUGCAUAAAAAACUUAGCAAAGAAUCCGAUUUUUUCUUAAGUCAACAGUAUAAAAUCAUUUUUUUCCUGCUUAUUUAAAAAAAACAAAGAACCUUUUGUUAUGAAAUUUUUAAAUUUUUUUAAAUUUAAAAUUUUUUUCCCAAUAAAAAGCAAAGAUUUUAGUGUCAUAUAAAGAUGAUAAUAUUCAUAGUAGUCAUCUAAAAUUUUUUCAUGAGAGUCACCUGCAGAACAUUUUAAGAUUAAGAUUUCUCAGCCCUAAUUACAGAUUGUUACUGAAGAAGACCAUAGUAAGCCUGAGAAUCUUCAUUUUAAGAUGGAUUUCUGUCAGGAAUGGUAGUACAUGCCUAUAGCCUGUAAUCCCAACAAGUCAAAUGCUGAGGCAGUAGGAUGGCAAGUUUAUGGCCAGCCUUAGCAACUCAAUCCCUAGUACUGCCAAAAAAAAAAAAAAGUCAAUAAGAUAACUUUUUAAUAUCUAUUUGAAUGGAUAGCACAUACACAUGAUAUAAAAGUCAAAAAGAUGUAAAGUGGUAUAUGGUGUAAGUAUUCUACCUCACCUUACCUUUAGUUGUCAUUUUUCCAGGAGCAUUCAGUAUUGACUCUUUGUAUUCUUUCAUAUUCUUUCACAGAUGAUUCCUGCACACAUUAUCACAAAUGUAUGCUUCCUUUGUUUUGUACACAAAUGACAGCAAUGCUGUGUACAUUCUGCAACUUAUUCUGCAGCUCACUAUUUUUCAUUUGAUGUAUUUGGACAUCUUUCAUAUCAGUAAAUUAGAGUUUUUUUUUUUUUUGUAGAUGGACACAGUAUCUUUAUUUAUUUUUAAGUGGUGCUGAGGAUCGAACCCAGUUCCUCACACAUGCUAGGCAAGCACUUUACCACUGAGCUACAACCCCAGCCCCAGACUCUUUUCUUUAAUUGAUGUGGUUCUCAUACAAGUGGCCCGUGGUUCCUGCUUUAAUAAACAUUCUUCAUAACAGUAAUUCUAGUCAUUAUAGUAACUGACCUUUAUGAAAUGCUUUUUAAAAAAGCAGCAAUCUCCUGUUGAUCAGAAGUAUAGAUGAUUAAUUUGAUCCCAAAACCUACUAAUUACUUUUAAAAUGGAUGAAUUUUUUAAAAGCAGGGGUUGGGAAGCAACAUAUUUCACUUGAAUAAAAAUAAGCCUUGUAAAACUAUAGGAUGAUUCCAAAUAAAAAUGUUCUUUAUGCUGGUGGAAUGUGAUGGACAUCAUUAUCCAAAGUACAUGUAUGAAGACAUGAAUUGGAUGUCAACAUACUUUAUUUACAAACAAAGAUAUGAAAAACUGUGGUAAAUAUGUGUAAUAAGAAUUGUAAUGCAAAAAAAAAGAUUUUUGAGUUGUUAAAAAAGUAAAUUGUAAGCCUGGGGGUGUGGCUCAGUAGCAGAGUGUUUUUGCCUAGCAUGUGCAAUCCCCAGCACCACAAAAAAUUAAAAUAAAAAAAUAAAAAUAAA
Molecule: long non-coding RNA, 1588 nt
Filed under: Marmota monax (woodchuck)
Lineage: Eukaryota; Metazoa; Chordata; Mammalia; Rodentia; Sciuridae
Source: RNAcentral